CCAAAAUCGGGUAAUGAACUCGAACUCGGCGAAGAAAACGGAAGAAACUGGGAAGAAGACGAAGCAGAGGAGCAGAUAGAAGAAGUAUUGGGGCGGUCCUCGGUUUGGACAACAUGCUUUUUUCCCGAAAAGCUGGCAGAAGAGAAAAGGGAAGAAGAGAGCUCCCUCUUGCUUCACCCUCUUUGAAGAGAGAGAGAAGGAGAGCACACUUCAUCAUCGAUCGCAUACGUCGUCAUGUCUUUUCCGUUUUGUCCCACUCUAAAACCCAAAGCCAAUUUC
Non-coding RNA from Caenorhabditis elegans, 279 nucleotides. The record is from Ensembl. NCBI's taxonomy places the organism in Eukaryota, Metazoa, Nematoda, Chromadorea, Rhabditida, Rhabditidae.